CCUACGGGAGGCAGCAGUGGGGAAUAUUGCACAAUGGGGGAAACCCUGAUGCAGCGACGCCGCGUGAGUGAUGAAGUAUUUCGGUAUGUAAAGCUCUAUCAGCAGGGAAGAAGAAAGACGGUACUUGACUAAGAAGCCCCGGCUAACUACGUGCCAGCAGCCGCGGCAAUCCGGAGGGGGCCAGCGUUAUCCGGACUUACUGGGCGUAAAGGGAGCGUAGACGGCUGUGCAAGUCUGAAGUGAAAGCCCAGGGCUCAACCCUGGGACUGCUUUGGCAACUGGGGAGCUAGCGUGCGGGAGAGGUAAGUGGAAUUCCUGGUGUAGCGGUGAAAUGCGUAGAUAUUAGGAGGAACAGCAGUGGCGAAGGCGGCUUACUGGACAGUAACUGACGUUGAGGCUCGAAAGCGUGGGGAGCAAACAGGAUUAGAUACCCGGGUAGUC
Molecule: ribosomal RNA, 441 nt
Filed under: uncultured bacterium
Lineage: Bacteria
Description: partial 16S ribosomal RNA
Rfam family: Bacterial small subunit ribosomal RNA
Source: RNAcentral